UGUUCUUUGAGAAGCAUGAAAACUACAAGGUAAUGUUGCUUCCUGUAUGAUGUGUUAAGAAGAGUAAUUGAAAUCUACUAGUGAGAUUAAUCAGCCAUAUGUAAAUGACCUGUAUCAAUUGGAGCACUUGAUUUGCACAUUGAUAUCUGUCCUUCCAUUUGAUUCUUUGGGAAAAGUUUAAGAGAGUUUGACUGAUAAGGUGUCAUGCAGUUCAAUGGACUUGCAUGGCUCUUUUUGGGAGUUCCUACAAGCAGCUCUUUGCUCUACAAGGAGGUGAGACUGUAACACGCUUUGAUGACUUCUCCUCUUCCUUCUGGUGUUCAAAAACAAAUGGCCUUGCAUUGCUAGCUUCUCUGCUUUGGAUCUCCAGGAAUUUGAGAAGAUGAAAGAGUUGGCACCCGAAAAUUUCCGUCUAGAUUUUGCUGUCAGCAGAGAACAAACAAAUGAAAAGGGAGAGAAGAUGUACAUCCAGACUCGUAUGGCACAAUAUGCAAGUGAGCUGUGGGAGCUACUGAAGAAGGACAACACCUUUGUGUACAUGUGUGGAUUGAAAGGAAUGGAGAAGGGUAUUGAUGAUAUCAUGGUUUCCUUGGCUGCCAAAGAUGGUAAGAUGUGUGGCUUGAUCUCAAAGAGAAAGAAGAAAACUUGAGUAAACUUGAUAUCAGUUUCCUGAUCCUUUGUUUUAAUUAACAGGCAUUGAUUGGCUGACCUACAAGAGGGAACUGAAGAAGGCAGAACAAUGGAAUGUGGAGGUCUAUUGAUGCAUUUUGUUGCAACCUAUCUCUCUUCAAAAACCAACCUUCAUCAUAUGCUAUACUUGAUGUAGAUAACAAGUUGUCUUGUGUUCUGUGUUAUGUCCUUGUAGUUUUUAACUAUUUUAGUUGCCCUCCUAUUCUGUGAAAAGAA
This 906-nucleotide long non-coding RNA is filed under the name Musa acuminata (dwarf banana). RNAcentral describes it as "long non-coding RNA (MACU_LNC000064)". The record is from RNAcentral. Lineage: Eukaryota; Viridiplantae; Streptophyta; Magnoliopsida; Zingiberales; Musaceae.